Molecule: ribosomal RNA, 433 nt
Filed under: uncultured bacterium
Lineage: Bacteria
Description: partial 16S ribosomal RNA
Rfam family: Bacterial small subunit ribosomal RNA
Source: RNAcentral
AACGAACGCUGGCGGCAGGCUUAACACAUGCAAGUCGAACGCACCUUUCGGGGUGAGUGGCAGACGGGUGAGUAACGCGUGGGAAUCUACCCUUCUCUACGGGAUAGCUCCGGGAAACUGGAAUUAAUACCGUAUACGUCCUGAGGGAGAAAGAUUUAUCGGGGAAGGAUGAGCCCGCGUUGGAUUAGCUAGUUGGUGGGGUAAAGGCCUACCAAGGCGACGAUCCAUAGCUGGUCUAAGAGGAUGAUCAGCCACAUUGGGACUGAGACACGGCCCAAACUCCUACGGGAGGCAGCAGUGGGGAAUAUUGGACAAUGGGCGCAAGCCUGAUCCAGCCAUGCCGCGUGAGUGAUGAAGGCCCUAGGGUUGUAAAGCUCUUUCAGUGGGGACGAUAAUGACGGUACCCACAGAAGAAGCCCCGGCUAACUUCGGG